UGGGGAAUCUUGCACAAUGGGGGCAACCCUGAUGCAGCGACGCCGCGUGAGCGAUGAAGCCCUUCGGGGUGUAAAGCUCUUUCGGCAGGGAAGAUUAUGACGGUACCUGCAGAAGCAGCUGCGGCUAACUACGUGCCAGCAGCCGCGGUAAUACGUAGGCAGCAAGCGUUGUUCGGAGUUACUGGGCGUAAAGGGUGUGUAGGCGGUUCUCUAAGUUUGGUGUGAAAUCUCCCGGCUCAACUGGGAGGGUGCGCCGAAAACUGGGGGGCUAGAGUACGGGAUGGGAGAGUGGAAUUCCUGGUGUAGCGGUGAAAUGCGUAGAUAUCAGGAGGAACACCUGUGGUGUAGACGGCUCUCUGGACCGUAACUGACGCUGAGACACGAAAGCGUGGGUAGCAAACAGGAUUAGAUACCCCCGUAGUCC
RNAcentral lists this ribosomal RNA (424 nucleotides) under uncultured bacterium. Its description in RNAcentral is "bacterial SSU rRNA". It matches the Rfam family "Bacterial small subunit ribosomal RNA", at positions 355 to 796 of the family's 1533-position model. The record is from RNAcentral.